RNAcentral lists this ribosomal RNA (508 nucleotides) under uncultured bacterium. RNAcentral's name for it is "partial 16S ribosomal RNA". It matches the Rfam family "Bacterial small subunit ribosomal RNA", at positions 30 to 523 of the family's 1533-position model. The record is from RNAcentral.
AUUGAACGCUGGCGGCAUGCCCUACACAUGCAAGUCGAACGGCAGCGGGGGAGAAGCUUGCUUUUCCUGCCGGCGAGUGGCGAACGGGUGAGUAAUACAUCGGAACGUGCCCUGUAGUGGGGGAUAACUAGUCGAAAGAUUAGCUAAUACCGCAUACGACCUGAGGGUGAAAGUGGGGGACCGCAAGGCCUCAUGCUAUAGGAGCGGCCGAUGUCUGAUUAGCUAGUUGGUGGGGUAAAGGCCUACCAAGGCGACGAUCAGUAGCUGGUCUGACGGGAAGUUCAGCCACACUGGGACUGGGACACGGCCCAGACUCCUACGGGAGGCAGCAGUGGGGAAUUUUAGACAAUGGGCGAAAGCCUGAUCCAGCAAUGCCGCGUGUGUGAAGAAGGCCUUCGGGUUGUAAAGCACUUUUGUCCGGAAAGAAAUGGCUCUGGUUAAUACCUGGGGUCGAUGACGGUACCGGAAGAAUAAGGACCGGCUAACUACGUGCCAGCCGCCGCCGUAA